UCGGAAUUGCUAGUAAUCGCGGAUCAGCAUGCCGCGGUGAAUACGUUCCCGGGCCUUGUACACACCGCCCGUCACACCAUGGGAGCCGGUAAUACCCGAAGUCAGUAGUCCAACCUCGUGAGGACGCUGCCGAAGGUAGGAUUGGCGACUGGGGUGAAGUCGUAACAAGGUACC
Molecule: ribosomal RNA, 174 nt
Filed under: uncultured bacterium
Lineage: Bacteria
Description: partial 16S ribosomal RNA
Rfam family: Bacterial small subunit ribosomal RNA
Source: RNAcentral